AUCAAUAAUGUUGAUACCAUCGAUGUGCCUCGUCCCCCGCCCCCGGGGCGCCGCUGCCGCCUUUUCGCCGCUUUUUGCCUUGCUUAAGAAAACGAAACCUCCACUACUGCCCUUCUAGCCUCGGCCGGGGGCCAGCGGGGCCUUGAGCUGGGGACUGAGGAAACAGGGGUGCAGGGAGAGCACUUGGAGACGUCCUCCAUUUCUGGGGUAGGGUGGCCAAGCACCGUCAACGGAACGGAAAAGAGGGUCUGGGGCCCAGGCAAGGCCUCAUCCCAGGCCCCAUCCCAGACCCGAGGUCAGAUCGGGCCAGAAUAAGAUACUUUUGAGGGUAGAAGAACCAGGCCUCAGAAUGCGCGAGCCUUGACGCCCCCCACGUUGCCCUUCGUAGGACCAGAGGUUGAGCAAAGAAGCCUGGAAACCUCAUGGCUGGGACCCCAGUUGUGGCCUGCGGCCUUGGGGCACAGACCUUCGGCCCCGCCAACCCACCAAGGAUACUCUAGGACUUGGGAAAACUAAGGGGACGUAUUAGUAGGAACGAGCAUCAAUCCCCCAAGAUGGGAGUUUGCAAAACUCGCCAAGCGCCUCCCCCGGGUGCGGUUCCUCUCCGCCAGUGAGGUCGCGACCCCGGCGCAGCUGCCGCCUCACUUCGGGCUAUCCCCAUUCGCUAUUGCGGAUCAGCCCCUAAGUACCAGGCCCUCUGGCGGAACCUGCAAGUCCAAACUUCGCUACCCGGAUUCCCCAGUAGUCCCCCCCCCACCCCACCUCCACCCAGAGUUAGGAGGGUGCUACCGCACGUAGAGCGCGCAGGUCUCUGGGGUGAGCAGGGCGCGUGGAGGGACUCCAGGAGUGGCACCUCACUCCCGCUCGCCGCCUACUUUCGACCCGCACAAAAAUAAAGAAUAACCCCCACUCUGCUUCUGUUUUUAUUGAUGUAUUUCUUUGCAUCGCGGCACGCGGAGCCUCGCCAGCGCCCUGACACUGCAGCGCCCGCACCAGCGAACCACGGAACUUGGGACCGAGACAAUGGCCCGUAAUUGAUGUAUUGCCAUCAACAAUAAAGACCAAUUCUCCUCUCCCCGCCAUUCCGACCAUCCCCCUCCUCCCAUCCCCCCC
RNAcentral lists this long non-coding RNA (1113 nucleotides) under Homo sapiens (human). RNAcentral describes it as "HSALNT0385949". Lineage: Eukaryota; Metazoa; Chordata; Mammalia; Primates; Hominidae. The record is from RNAcentral.